GCACUUUAAGCAGUGAAGAAGACUCCUCGGUUAAUACCCGUGGACGAUGACAUUAGCUGCAGAAUAAGCACCGGCUAACUCUGUGCCAGCAGCCGCGGUAAUACAGAGGGUGCAAGCGUUAAUCGGAAUUACUGGGCGUAAAGGGAGCGUAGGUGGCUCGAUAAGUCAGAUGUGAAAUCCCCGGGCUCAACCUGGGAACUGCAUCUGAUACUGUUGAGCUAGAGUAUGUGAGAGGAAGGUAGAAUUCCAGGUGUAGCGGUGAAAUGCGUAGAGAUCUGGAGGAAUACCGAUGGCGAAGGCAGCCUUCUGGCAUAAUACUGACACUGAGGCUCGAAAGCGUGGGUAGCAAACAGGAUUAGAUACCCUGGUAGUCCACGCCGUAAACGAUGUCUACUAGUCGUUGG
Molecule: ribosomal RNA, 404 nt
Filed under: uncultured bacterium
Lineage: Bacteria
Description: bacterial SSU rRNA
Rfam family: Bacterial small subunit ribosomal RNA
Source: RNAcentral